Molecule: ribosomal RNA, 76 nt
Filed under: Escherichia coli
Lineage: Bacteria; Pseudomonadati; Pseudomonadota; Gammaproteobacteria; Enterobacterales; Enterobacteriaceae
Also listed under: 24 other names
Description: partial 23S ribosomal RNA
Source: RNAcentral
CGGGUGUGUAAGCGCAGCGAUGCGUUGAGCUAACCGGUACUAAUGAACCGUGAGGCUUAACCUUACAACGCCGAAG